CACUCCUGCGGGAGGCAGCAGUGGGGAAUAUUGCACAAUGGGCGCAAGCCUGAUGCAGCCAUGCCGCGUGUAUGAAGAAGGCCUUCGGGUUGUAAAGUACUUUCAGCGGGGAGGAAGGCGAUAAGGUUAAUAACCUUGUCGAUUGACGUUACCCGCAGAAGAAGCACCGGCUAACUCCGUGCCAGCAGCCGCGGUAAUACGGAGGGUGCAAGCGUUAAUCGGAAUUACUGGGCGUAAAGCGCACGCAGGCGGUCUGUCAAGUCGGAUGUGAAAUCCCCGGGCUCAACCUGGGAACUGCAUUCGAAACUGGCAGGCUAGAGUCUUGUAGAGGGGGGUAGAAUUCCAGGUGUAGCGGUGAAAUGCGUAGAGAUCUGGAGGAAUACCGGUGGCGAAGGCGGCCCCCUGGACAAAGACUGACGCUCAGGUGCGAAAGCGUGGGGAGCAAACAGGAUUAGAAACCCCUGUAGUCCC
Molecule: ribosomal RNA, 471 nt
Filed under: uncultured organism
Description: partial 16S ribosomal RNA
Rfam family: Bacterial small subunit ribosomal RNA
Source: RNAcentral